AAUGGGCGAAAGCCUGACGGAGCAAGACCGCGUGAGGGAGGAAGGCUCUUGGGUUGUAAACCUCUUUUCUCAGGGAAGAAUAGAUGACGGUACCUGAGGAAUCAGCAUCGGCUAACUCCGUGCCAGCAGCCGCGGUAAUACGGAGGAUGCAAGCGUUAUCCGGAAUUAUUGGGCGUGAAGCGUCCGUAGGUGGUUAUACAAGUCAGCUGUUAAAGCGUGGGGCUUAACUCCAUAAAGGCGGUUGAAACUGUAGGACUAGAGUGUGGUGGGGGUAGCGGGAAUUCCCAGUGUAGCGGUGAAAUGCGUAGAUAUUGGGAAGAACACCGGCGGCGAAAGCGCGCUACUGGGCCACGACUGACACUGAGGGACGAAAGCCAGGGGAGCGA
RNAcentral lists this ribosomal RNA (386 nucleotides) under uncultured cyanobacterium. Its description in RNAcentral is "bacterial SSU rRNA". It matches the Rfam family "Bacterial small subunit ribosomal RNA", at positions 370 to 771 of the family's 1533-position model. The record is from RNAcentral. Lineage: Bacteria; Bacillati; Cyanobacteriota.